UAACCCCUACGGGGGGCAGCAGUGGGGAAUAUUGCACAAUGGGGGAAACCCUGAUGCAGCAACGCCGCGUGAGUGAAGAAGUAUUUCGGUAUGUAAAGCUCUAUCAGCAGGGAAGAGAAUGACGGUACCUGACUAAGAAGCCCCGGCUAACUACGUGCCAGCAGCCGCGGUAAUACGUAGGGGGCAAGCGUUAUCCGGAUUUACUGGGUGUAAAGGGAGCGUAGACGGCUGUACAAGUCUGAAGUGAAAGCCCGUGGC
Molecule: ribosomal RNA, 258 nt
Filed under: uncultured bacterium
Lineage: Bacteria
Description: partial 16S ribosomal RNA
Rfam family: Bacterial small subunit ribosomal RNA
Source: RNAcentral